UGCCAGCCGCCGCGGUAAUACGGAGGGGGUUAGCGUUGUCCGGAAUCAUUGGGCGUAAAGCGCGUGUAGGCGGCUUGGCAAGUCUGGUGUGAAAUCUUGGGGCUCAACCCCAAGCGUGCACUGGAAGCUGCCUCGCUAGAGUCCGGGAGAGGAGAGCGGAACUCCCAGUGUAGCGGUGAAAUGCGCAGAUAUUGGGAAGAACACCGAUUGCGAAGGCAGCUCUCUGGAACGGUACUGACGCUGAGACGCGAAAGCGUGGGGAGCGAACAGGAUUAGAUA
Molecule: ribosomal RNA, 279 nt
Filed under: uncultured bacterium
Lineage: Bacteria
Description: partial 16S ribosomal RNA
Rfam family: Bacterial small subunit ribosomal RNA
Source: RNAcentral